AGCGAACGCUGGCGGCAGGCCUAACACAUGCAAGUCGAACGAACUCUUCGGAGUUAGUGGCGGACGGGUGAGUAACACGUGGGAACGUGCCCUUUGGUUCGGAAUAACUCAGGGAAACUUGUGCUAAUACCGAAUGUGCCCUUCGGGGGAAAGAUUUAUCGCCAUUAGAGCGGCCCGCGUCUGAUUAGCUAGUUGGUGAGGUAACGGCUCACCAAGGCGACGAUCAGUAGCUGGUCUGAGAGGAUGACCAGCCACACUGGGACUGAGACACGGCCCAGACUCCUACGGGAGGCAGCAGUGGGGAAUCUUGCGCAAUGGGCGAAAGCCUGACGCAGCCAUGCCGCGUGAAUGAUGAAGGUCUUAGGAUUGUAAAAUUCUUUCACCCGGGACGAUAAUGACGGUACCCGGAGAAGAAGCCCCGGCUAACUUCGUG
This 433-nucleotide ribosomal RNA is filed under the name uncultured bacterium. Its description in RNAcentral is "partial 16S ribosomal RNA". It matches the Rfam family "Bacterial small subunit ribosomal RNA", at positions 29 to 507 of the family's 1533-position model. The record is from RNAcentral.